UCAUAGAAUGCAAAACCGAGUUUACUUUGUCAUAGAUGAAUAGUGAUAGUUCAGUGGGUGAAAUGGACAUACAGAGAACUUCAAAACCCCACCGACACCUCCUUCCUAUGCAAAUCUCACAAUUCGAAACUCCCGCCAUAAAACGAGCGAAUCCAAACGAAGCUGCGAGUUUACGCAAACUCGCAGGUGGUACCUUAUUUGGCUCUGGCCUGUACAUUUGUCACGCCUCAAAAUUUACAUACAGACCAGCCCACUGGAAUUAUAAAGCAGACAGUUCUUCAAGGAUAUCGAAAAUGAGCCACGGUCGUAAAUGCAGUGUUCCAGGUUGAAACUUAGGCUACAAAGAAAGCUGAGACUUUCCAUAGUCUUCCCAAGGAUUCAAAAGUUCGAGGGGCAUGGAUAAUUGCUACCAGAAGAAGAUCCCUGCAAAGUUCGACACUUCGUUAUUAAUUUGCAAAACAUUUCACCGAAGGCAGUUUUCAAAACCUUGUACAGUUAAGCAGGAUUUGCUAAGCUGCUGUUACUGAAACGAGGGGCUGUUCCGACCGUAAGGUCAUCACAACCGCAUGCUGUUUUAUCUAGCAGCCAUGCACUUCAAUGAGAAUGCUGAGUCCCCACAACAGAAGACAGCCAAGGAGAAACUAUGUACAGACUUGCCAAACAAUUUAUCAUCAAAGACCCUCUUCCUUAUUGGGAUGCCGUCCAGCGGAUUCCUGUGCCCCAGGACUUGUGUGCUCAGCU
This is a long non-coding RNA of Alosa sapidissima (American shad), 741 nucleotides long. RefSeq lists it as uncharacterized. The record is from RefSeq and is a predicted model, not a curated record. The transcript has 4 exons. NCBI's taxonomy places the organism in Eukaryota, Metazoa, Chordata, Actinopteri, Clupeiformes, Clupeidae.